RNAcentral lists this ribosomal RNA (491 nucleotides) under uncultured Lactobacillus sp. RNAcentral's name for it is "partial 16S ribosomal RNA". Lineage: Bacteria; Bacillati; Bacillota; Bacilli; Lactobacillales; Lactobacillaceae. The record is from RNAcentral.
CACGUAGUUAGCCGUGACUUUCUAAGUAAUUACCGUCAAAUAAAGGCCAGUUACUACCUCUAUCUUUCUUCACUACCGACAGAGCUUUACGAGCCGAAACCCUUCUUCACUCACGCGGCGUUGCUCCAUCAGACUUUCGUCCAUUGUGGAAGAUUCCCUACUGCUGCCUCCCGUAGGAGUUUGGGCCGUGUCUCAGUCCCAAUGUGGCCGAUCAGUCUCUCAACUCGGCUAUGCAUCAUUGCCUUGGUAAGCCGUUACCUUACCAACUAGCUAAUGCACCGCAGGUCCAUCCAAGAGUGAUAGCAGAACCAUCUUUCAAACUCUAGACAUGCGUCUAGUGUUGUUAUCCGGUAUUAGCAUCUGUUUCCAGGUGUUAUCCCAGUCUCUUGGGCAGGUUACCCACGUGUUACUCACCCGUCCGCCGCUCGCUUGUAUCUAGUUUCAUUUAGUGCAAGCACUAAAAUCAUCUAGGCAAGCUCGCUCGACUUGCA